RNAcentral lists this ribosomal RNA (873 nucleotides) under uncultured archaeon. Its description in RNAcentral is "bacterial SSU rRNA". It matches the Rfam family "Archaeal small subunit ribosomal RNA", at positions 1 to 874 of the family's 1478-position model. The record is from RNAcentral.
UCCGGUUGAUCCUGCCAGAGGUUACUGCUAUCGGUGUUCGCCUAAGCCAUGCGAGUCAUAUGUUCUUCGUGAACAUGGCGUACUGCUCAGUAACACGUGGAUAACCUGCCCUUGGGUCUGGGAUAACCCCGGGAAACUGGGGAUAAUACCGGAUAACGCAUAUAUGCUGGAAUGCUUUAUGCGUAAAAUGGAUUCGUCUGCCCAAGGAUGGGUCUGCGGCCUAUCAGGUAGUAGUGGGUGUAAUGUACCUACUAGCCUACAACGGGUACGGGUUGUGAGAGCAAGAGCCCGGAGAUGGAUUCUGAGACAUGAAUCCAGGCCCUACGGGGCGCAGCAGGCGCGAAAACUUUACAAUGCGGGAAACCGUGAUAAGGGGACACCGAGUGCCAGCAUCAUAUGCUGGCUGUCCAGAUGUGUAAAAUACAUCUGUUAGCAAGGGCCGGGCAAGACCGGUGCCAGCCGCCGCGGUAACACCGGCGGCCCGAGUGGUGAUCGUGAUUAUUGGGUCUAAAGGGUCCGUAGCCGGUUUGGUCAGUCCUCCGGGAAAUCUGAUGGCUCAACCAUUAGGCUUUCGGGGGAUACUGCCAGGCUUGGAACCGGGAGAGGUAAGAGGUACUACAGAAAGUAGGAGUGAAAUCUUGUAAUCCCUGUGAGACCACCUGUGGCGAAGGCGUCUUACCAGAACGGGUUCGACGGUGAGGGACGAAAGCUGGGGGCACGAACCGGAUUAGAUACCCGGGUAGUCCCAGCCGUAAACGAUGCUCGCUAGGUGUCAGGCAUGGCGCGACCGUGUCUGGUGCCGCAGGGAAGCCGUGAAGCGAGCCACCUGGGAAGUACGGCCGCAAGGCUGAAACUUAAAGGAAUUGGCGGGAA